CAUUUAGUGGGGGACAACAUUCCGAAAGGAAUGCUAAUACCGCAUACGUCCUACGGGAGAAAGCAGGGGAUCUUCGGACCUUGCGCUAAAUGAUGAGCCUAAGUCGGAUUAGCUAGUUGGUGGGGUAAAGGCCUACCAAGGCGACGAUCUGUAGCGGGUCUGAGAGGCUGAUCCGCCACACUGGGACUGAGACACGGCCCAGACUCCUACGGGAGGCAGCAGUGGGGAAUAUUGGACAAUGGGCGGAAGCCUGAUCCAGCCAUGCCGCGUGUGUGAAGAAGGCCUUAUGGUUGUAAAGCACUUUAAGCGAGGAGGAGGCUACUUAGAUUAAUACUCUAGGAUAGUGGACGUUACUCGCAGAAUAAGCACCGGCUAACUCUGUGCCAGCAGCCGCGGUAAU
RNAcentral lists this ribosomal RNA (400 nucleotides) under uncultured bacterium. RNAcentral's name for it is "bacterial SSU rRNA". It matches the Rfam family "Bacterial small subunit ribosomal RNA", at positions 130 to 524 of the family's 1533-position model. The record is from RNAcentral.